This 242-nucleotide long non-coding RNA is filed under the name Homo sapiens (human). RNAcentral's name for it is "HSALNT0371509". The record is from RNAcentral. Lineage: Eukaryota; Metazoa; Chordata; Mammalia; Primates; Hominidae.
CCCCGCCCCGCGCUGGGACCAGGGUCCGGUGCGGAGUGCCCUUUGUCCUGGGAAACGGGGCGCGGCCGGAAAGGCGGCCGCCCUCUCGCCCGUCACGCAACGCACGUUCGUGGGGAACCUGGCGCUAAACCAUUCGUAGACGACUUGCUUCUGGGUCGGGGUUUCGUACGUAGCAGAGCAGCUCCCUCGCUGCGAUCUAUUGAAAGUCAGAUCUCCACACAAGGCUUUGUAAAAAAAAAAAA